AAUUUAUGUGAUUUACUUCCAGAUUUAUUUUUUGACAUUUGAGGUUAUGUCAUUGUGAAUUGUAAGCGGCUUCUUCACGUUUGAAUUGAUGAUUUUCGUAAAAUGAAUAACUAUAUCGGUUAUUACUACAUUUCAAUCAGCAAAUAAUCCUUUUUGGAAGCUUUAAUGAAGAUUUAUUUUUUGACAUUUGAGGUUAUGUCAUUGUGAAUUGUAAGCGGCUCCUUCACGUUUGAAUUGAUGAUUUUCUUAAAAUGAAUAACUUUAUAUGGGUUAUUACUACAUUUCAAUCAGCAAAUAAUCCUUUUUGGAAGCUUUAAUGCAGAUUUAUUUUUUGACAUUUGAGGUUAUGUCAUUGUGAAUUAUAAGCGGCUUCUUCACGUUUGAAUUGAUGAUUUUCUUAAAAUGAAUAACUUUGAUGUGUUAUUAUUACAUUACAAUCAACAAAUAAUCCUUUUUGGAUGCUUUAAUGAAGGUAAAUAAAAAUUUUUGCUUAAAACUUUAUUUAUCUGAUUUAUUUUCAGAUUUAUUUUUUGACAUUUGAGGUUAUGUCAUUAUUGUGAACUGCCAAAAUGUUUGAAUUGAUGGGUUACAAACACUAAAAAAUCUUCAAUUGCUGUUGUAAUGAAGGUAGGUUAAAGUUUUUCCUUUUAUCUUUCGAUUAAAUUAAUAAUUUUAAAAUUAA
Onthophagus taurus is the source of this 682-nucleotide non-coding RNA. NCBI's taxonomy places the organism in Eukaryota, Metazoa, Arthropoda, Insecta, Coleoptera, Scarabaeidae. The record is from RefSeq and is a predicted model, not a curated record.